Molecule: ribosomal RNA, 274 nt
Filed under: uncultured bacterium
Lineage: Bacteria
Description: partial 16S ribosomal RNA
Rfam family: Bacterial small subunit ribosomal RNA
Source: RNAcentral
AGACGGAGGGGGCGAGCGUUGUUCGGAAUUACUGGGCGUAAAGCGCGCGUAGGCGGCGUGUCAAGUCGAGGGUGAAAUCCCGGGGCUCAACCCCGGAACUGCCUUCGAAACUGGCAUGCUAGAGUCCGGGAGAGGAGAGUGGAAUUCCCAGUGUAGAGGUGAAAUUCGUAGAUAUUGGGAAGAACACCAGUGGCGAAGGCGGCUCUCUGGUCCGGUACUGACGCUGAGGCGCGAAAGCGUGGGGAGCAAACAGGAUUAGAAACCCGAGUAGUCC